This 88-nucleotide transfer RNA is filed under the name Rhodospirillales bacterium. Its description in RNAcentral is "tRNA-Asn". It matches the Rfam family "tRNA". From Rfam's summary of the family: Transfer RNA (tRNA) molecules are approximately 80 nucleotides in length. The record is from RNAcentral. Lineage: Bacteria; Pseudomonadati; Pseudomonadota; Alphaproteobacteria; Rhodospirillales.
GGGGGUGUGGCCGAAUUGGUUAAGGCACCGGGCUGUUAACCCGAGGUCGUUUCGUAACGUGCGGGUUCGAGUCCCGUCAUCCUCGCCA